Molecule: ribosomal RNA, 634 nt
Filed under: uncultured bacterium
Lineage: Bacteria
Description: bacterial SSU rRNA
Rfam family: Bacterial small subunit ribosomal RNA
Source: RNAcentral
CAGGUCUGUAGCAAUACAGAUGCUGGCGACCGGCAAACGGGUGCGGAACACGUACACAACCUUCCUUUGAGCGGGGAAUAGCCCGGGGAAACCCGGAUUAAUACCCCAUAGUAUAAUGACUGGGCAUCUGGUUAUUAUUAAAGAUUUAUCACUUAAAGAUGGGUGUGCGGCUGAUUAGGUAGUUGGCGGGGUAACGGCCCACCAAGCCGACGAUCAGUAACUGGUGUGAGAGCACGACCAGUCACACGGGCACUGAGACACGGGCCCGACUCCUACGGGAGGCAGCAGUAAGGAAUAUUGGUCAAUGGACGAAAGUCUGAACCAGCCAUGCCGCGUGGAGGAUGAAGGUCCUCUGGAUUGUAAACUUCUUUUAUCUGGGACGAAAAAAGGGAAUUCUUUCUCGUCUGACGGUACCAGAUGAAUAAGCACCGGCUAACUCCGUGCCAGCAGCCGCGGUAAUACGGAGGGUGCAAGCGUUAUCCGGAUUCACUGGGUUUAAAGGGUGCGUAGGUGGGUUGGUAAGUCAGUGGUGAAAUCCCCGAGCUUAACUUGGGAACUGCCAUUGAUACUAUCAGUCUUGAAUACCGUGGAGGUCAGCGGAAUAUGUCAUGUAGCGGUGAAAUGCUUAGAUAUG